AAGUCGUAACAAGGUUUCCGUAGGUGAACCUGCGGAAGGAUCAUUAACAUCUGUUUGAUAGUGGUGUGUGGGUGUGAGUUUCUUUUAGUAGAGAUUCACACUCACCACCCUCAACCCCAUUGUGUGCAUGUUUGUGUGGUGCUAAGGCUUUGCUUUACUUCACACUAUUUUCACUUCACAAACCAAAACCCCUUCUUCUCAUCACUACUAGACUGACUUUACACCUCGUUUUACUCAGCUACUGAGCAAAACAUCAAUCAGCAUACAACUCUUAGCAACGGAUAUCUAGGCUCUC
RNAcentral lists this unclassified non-coding RNA (295 nucleotides) under fungal sp. Its description in RNAcentral is "partial internal transcribed spacer region". The stretch from base 1 to 46 matches the Rfam family "Eukaryotic small subunit ribosomal RNA", at positions 1786 to 1831 of the family's 1831-position model. The record is from RNAcentral. Lineage: Eukaryota; Fungi.